UCAAAACCGAUGAGAAAGAAGAGUAAACAACCAAGAAUCAUUCCAGAGAACGGCAAUUGGUGGGAAGCCGUAUGAAACUGAUUGUUGAAUGGCCUUUCGAGGGCGGUCCGAAAUCUUGAUAAGCGUGAGAGUAGGCACCGACGGGAACCGAACCCGUUAUAAAUCAGGAGUGUAUGUUUGUACAUGAGAAAGUGGACGAUUCGUCAAUUUGAGUGGUACCGCGAUAAUAAGAUUCUUAUUACCGUCUCAAGC
Non-coding RNA from Ruminococcus sp. CAG:9, 252 nucleotides. The record is from Rfam. Lineage: Bacteria; Bacillati; Bacillota; Clostridia; Eubacteriales; Oscillospiraceae.